GAAUUAAUUAAAACUACGGUCUUUCUAUCCACUUGACCUCUUUCUGUGCUGUAUAGACUUUAAUGAGAAACCCAUGAAAGCUGUAGACUUUCUUAGAAUACACAUAUGCAAAUAAAAUUGUAUAUGCUGUUUCAAGAUGCUGUAUCAGUGGAUUUCUUGGAAUCCAUCAAAAGACACCCUAGGUAGAGGAGUUCCUGGACUGUCACUAACUUUCCGAAGGCUUUAGGCACCUUCAUAACUUGGCUCUGGUUUUCACCUGGGUUAAGGACAUCUGCUCAUAUUUUAGCUUUCUUUCUGGGUAGAGAUUGGGUUUUUCUCUAUUUCUUUCUGCUGACACCAUUCCUGUACCACCUGCCAGCUUUUUUGCAUUCUUACACCACGGGUACUGGCAUUUGGUUUGUUACACAGGCAGAGUUGGAAAACAAGAUUUGUAGUAACCUAUGUUCUAUUUCAGAACACCUUACUUUUCUUUUGUCUGGAGUAUUUUUUUACUCAUGCACUGGUCCUUUUCUUUUGCUCUUUGAAGCUAUGGGAUAUCUCAUUUCUUGUUAAGAUGUGUGCCCAACUUUCCCUUGGAACACAAAAAGCUUCAGCGUUCCCAUAAAUCUUAACUUUCUACCUCUGACAAAGACUUUCUUAUUUCAAGGACUCAAUAUUCUUUUCUUUAGCACUUAAAACAGACCAUAAUGUUGUUUUUAAGCAGUGGUAGAAAUGAAUUUCUCUAUAAUAAGUAUUUUAAUUCCAUGUUUUCACAUUCAACCUGAUCAUUUUCUCAGAACAAAGAAAGCUUAGUGCAGUGAAAAGAACUCAAGUUUUGGAAGUCAGAUUGUUGUAUUCUAACUUGGGAGUCUUUUGAGUAGUUAAUUAAUCUCUUUAACCUUAGUUUUCUCAACUAUAAUAGAAGAAGAAUAAUAUUUUCAUGUGAUUGUUGUGAAGACUGCAGUGUUUUCUAAAACUGUCUGAACUGAAACAAUUGAGUCAUUUGUUAAAAAGACAGAUUGUUAAGCUCGUGCCUGCUCUGGAGAGUUCAUUUUCAGUAGGUCUAGACAAGGCCUAUUAAAAAAUCAAUUCCCCAGGUGAUUUUUAUAUCACAGAAGUUCGGAAACACACCUCUCGUGUGUGUGUGUGUGUGUGUGUGUGUGUGUAGACAUUACUCCCUGAUUGAUGACAGCUUGCUUAUAUUAGUAAAUUCCAACUACUUUCCUAUUUAUUGCUGUGACAAAAAAUUAACACUGUAUUAGCUUAUAUUUUAAUUAAAUGAAGUAAAAUGAUGAUAAUAUACAUAUUAUCCACUGUAUAAUGGAUAAUGAUACAUAUUGUUUUUCAUUAAUAUUUUCAUAUAUGUGAGUUUUAUUUUCUGUUAAAUUUAAGCCAUUUAUCGGUGAAUAUAUUCCUCAACUUUGACUUAUGUAAUUCAAACAGAUAACAAAUAUGUGUCAUAUUGGUAAUUAUUUUCCCCUUACAAUAUUUUGAAUGCACAAUGUUGAUGUUCUAACAUUGAACUUUGAAGGUGUCCUUGGAGCAGUUUAAGCUGGAUUGGAAUUCUCAUAGAAGUGAUUACAGAUCUAUAAACAAGAGGAUCAGAUGAGUGAUGGCAUAUAGAUUUCACAAGGUGUAGAAACUUAGAGGCUUUUAAAUUUCCAAAAUUUUCAGCUUACAUUCCAUCAAAGUCAGAUACAAUUAAGAAGAUUACAAUGAGUUAAUUCUUUCUUCAAAUUUUCUGAUUGUGUAAUACUCAGCCUUAUGUCAUCACCACUCCCACUUUACUCACCUCCACCCCCCCCAGGAGGUGAGGAUGUCAGAGCUGAGGAUAUUUAUUUCUUUCUCUAUACCCUGUAUUAGGAUAUAAAAUAUAAAAAUAUCUUGAAGAGGGAGUUCCCAUUGUGGCGCACUGGUUAACAAAUCCGACCAGGAACCAUGACGUUGAGGGUUCGAUCCCCCGCCUUGCUCAGUGGGUUGGGGAUCCGGCAUUACCAUGAGCUGUGGUAUAGGCCGCAGAUUUUUGGACUUUGGUCAUUGUCCUAGAUUUAAGUCCACUUUCAGUCAUUUUCUGGGCUGGGUAUACAUGCCCUUAUAAAUUCAAAAUUACAAAUAACACAAAUAUAUAUCUGUCAAAGUUCAUUUUGGACCCUUAUGCCUAUGAAUAUUAAAGGAAAUAGGAUAUUGAUUAGAAUCUUGAUGGUGAAUGAAAAGGGUCAAGGAGAAACCGUUUUGAGUUAUAGGCUACUUGCUCUAUAAAAUGUGUUCACAAAUGAGGAGUAAAUGGAAAUACGCUUUUUAGUGGUUUACAUGUUGAUGUGCUCAAAGCUACAUUUUCCCUCAUUUGCAUCAUGUGAAGGCAAACCCAGGAUAGGAUGCAUUUUGAUUUAAAAAUGUAAUCUCUUAGUCUAAUAAAGAUGGUAACCUCAUCAGCAUCUUGUAGGCAUUGGGCAUAUUCCUCAUUUAUCUUGCUAAAGGUAAAAACUUGUUUUUGAGCCUGUCGGCAAGAGAUGGACAGAUUGAAGUCAGUGUACAGUUAUUUCUUCAAGAAAGUCACCAAAUCCAUCCAAUUUUGCUUUUUCCUUCUGCUCUUUUUAUGUCAUAUUCUCUCACGUUUCCUCUUCUGUUAUACAUAACCAACACUUCUUUUCUGGUUUAAGCAGCCUGUGCACAGUAGUGGGAUGAAUUUUGAUAUCAGGCAUUCAGACUUCCCUGAUUCUUGCCUUCCUUCUGAUGAGGAACCCAGGAAGGUCUUAUGUGGGCAUGUAAAUGUCUGCUCCUUCUGGUUACCAGCUCUCACACAACCCAUGGUCUCUCCCAGGCACUAUGGGUGGUUUGCCACUUCUCCACAUCCCUCCCCUUGCAGCUCUCAUUGGACUUGUGUGGUGGUCUGUGGUCAAGUUGCUGUUUGUGGAGCUCUAAAGCAGUGCUACCUAUGCCAAAAUGGGCCUCAGAACUGACUUAAAUAGCACUUUCAGUUUUUAUCCUCAACCUACCCUCUCUGGGCUGGCUGUUUCUUGCUUGUAGCUCUAAGCCUGUUUGUCCAAUUCUGUUCCAGGAAAGAACCACUCUUGGCCAAAGUAGACUCCAACCCCUUUCCCAACAUCUACAUUUAUAUAACUACUUCUUUCAAGCUUUUACAUUUUGGCUCAACAUGACUCUCCUUCCAGAAGCAAAGGGACAUAAAGCUUUAAACUUGUCUCAAUAUCUGCAGGUAUGGAGAAUGGGUUGAAUAUUUUCAUAUUGUAAGUAAUGUACAAAUAUUCACGCAGGUGCUUGGGAGUAAAACUAUAAUUCCUAGAUGUCAAGGGUUUUUAGACGCUUACAUAGUUCUCACUAAUAACAAUAAUGUAUGAAGAAGGCACUGUCAUUAAAAGAUACAUAUGCAAUAAAUAACUUCCCUCUAAACAUUUCAAACAAUUUAGAAGAAAGUAAAAAGCUUAGAUUCCCUUCUCCAGCGGUUACCACUAAUAGCGAUUUACCGGGUAUCAACCCCAAAUCAUUUCAAUGCAUUUACAAAAUAGUUUGCAGGUUAUAAUUGUAAAAGGGCUUUUUUAUACAUUAUUUCACUUGAUUCUCGUGAAAGAUAGGUGUAUCUAGAUGUG
RNAcentral lists this long non-coding RNA (3584 nucleotides) under Sus scrofa (pig). Its description in RNAcentral is "lncRNA (ENSSSCG00035033896.1, ENSSSCG00065077478.1)". The record is from RNAcentral. Lineage: Eukaryota; Metazoa; Chordata; Mammalia; Artiodactyla; Suidae.